RNAcentral lists this transfer RNA (65 nucleotides) under Pressatia choti. Its description in RNAcentral is "tRNA-Arg". Lineage: Eukaryota; Metazoa; Arthropoda; Insecta; Diptera; Psychodidae. The record is from RNAcentral.
ACAUAUAAAGCAAUUUGCAUUUAGUUUCGACCUAAAAGAUAGUUUAUUUAAUUAAUCUAUAUGUA